Molecule: ribosomal RNA, 253 nt
Filed under: uncultured bacterium
Lineage: Bacteria
Description: partial 16S ribosomal RNA
Rfam family: Bacterial small subunit ribosomal RNA
Source: RNAcentral
UACGGAGGGGGCGAGCGUUAUCCGGAUUCACUGGGUUUAAAGGGUGCGUAGGCGGGAAUGUAAGUCAGUGGUGAAAUCUCUGAGCUUAACUCAGAAACUGCCAUUGAUACUAUGUUUCUUGAAUUUUCUGGAGGUCAGCGGAAUAUGUCAUGUAGCGGUGAAAUGCUUAGAUAUGACAUAGAACACCAAUUGCGAAGGCAGCUGGCUACAGGGAUAUUGACACUGAGGCACGAAAGCGUGGGGAUCAAACAGG